CUCUGGCAAAGAGGAGGAUGUCCAGGAAAUCCAACUUCCUCUUUCUCCUGAUCCUCUCAAGAUCUUCCUCAUCCUGCAGAUGCGCCUUUCUCAGUUUGAUCACUUGGUCUGUACCAGAAUAGUGGUUCGCAGGCAAAUUUAGGGCCCUGGGUGCCCAGAAAGAGCGACCCACAGUGGCCCCAUCAGCCCCUCACCCUGGUCCAAUAUGGAUGCCAGGGAAUCAGGAUGGGUAUGGGAGAGGUGUGCACAUGAGAAGUGAGAGGUCUAGCAUCAUCUGAUUGCAAGUCAAGCCUCCCCUCUAUAGCACACCCAUGGAGUGGGCUCUGCUUGAAUGCUACUUGGAGAGGGUGACAUCACCAUGUGGUGACACAUGGGAACACCAGCACAUUCCAUUGCACCCUGACAUUUCGGUUCCCAAGCCCCGCACCAGUUAAGUAUUCAGUGGGGGGUAUGUUCUAGUUCCCAAAGGAAAGUAGAGGUCAGGGCCAGUCCCUUUGAGAUGUACAUGAUGAAGGAGCAGGAGCAGCCCAGGAGGUGGAGUCCAACCUGUGUGUUGAUGGGCAAGCUGGCAGGCCCGCUUGUUCCAGAGGCCAUCAGGUGUCAGUGAGUAGAUGAUGUCGUUCUGGUAGAAGAAAUUCCUCACUCGAGAAUAAAAAAGAUUUUUCACAACCUCAAUGGCCUGGAUGUAGGAUUGGGAUUGGGAUUUUCUGCAGGCAGAAGAUACAGAACAGAUUAAGGUAUUGGGGGAGCUCUGACCUGGAGGUGAAGCGGAGCUCUAGGUGGGAGUUUCCCCAAAGAGUGGGUACAGGUGCCUCUGAGGCAUUCAUUGCCCCUGUCUUAUAGCCUUUGAGACCCUCCAUCCUUCAUAAGUGUCAAGAGCAACCAGACUUCUCCCUUGCUAGGGAUCAGGGAUCUGUAGCUGAUUCAAUUUUGGUCUGGUCUGGAAUUGUCUGUGGUCAGGAGCCCUGGACAGACUCUGGCUUUUUGUGCUCAUGAGCAUCCAAGCUGCCUGAACUGCCUCUCCAGUAAGUUCAUAUCAGUUGGUAAACCAAAAGCCCUGCAGCUGAAUGAUUAUCACUGACCUGUCCAUCUGGAUGCUGCUCUGCUGACUGAAGGCACACUUCAUGAUGGUGUCCAGGGUCAUCAAAGAGAUGUGUUCAAAGAUCUCCAGACUUAGAGUUAUUGGUUGAACUGUAUCCCUUUCAAGUUCAUAUGUUGAAGACUUAAUCCCAAGUAUCUGAGAAUAGGGGAAGUUUGGACACAGAAAUAGUCACUUGGAGAGGGAAGAUGAUGUGAAGAGCCAUAUGGAGAAGAUCGUGGUUUGCUAGUCAAGGAGAGAGGCCUGGAGCAGAUGGUUCCUUCAUAGCCUUCAGAAGCAGCCAACCUUACCAACAUCUUGAUUUGAAUUGUGAGACACUCAAUUUCUGUUGUUUCAGCCACCCAUUAUUUUAAGCAGCCCUAACAAAGUAAGACAAUUGUGUAAUGUUCAAGGCACAGCUAUGAGUGGGGAUGGAUUGGUACUUUAUCCUGUUUCCCUGAAGAAUGAGGAAACUGUUAAAGCAUAUGCCCAGGUGGCUGAGGACCCCAGGGUGUUUCUCAGAGCCCAAGAGCCGGGAGCAGCAGGGUGCAGAAGGAGUAAAUCCAGGGACUGGAGAGCUGCCAGGGCUGAGUCUAAUACUUUCUCUCUGCAUUCAUUCUCUUACCAAAUGUUUAUUGGGGCUCUACCUGACAAUUUUCUAGAAGCUGGAAAUAUGCUCACAAAUAAACAGACAACAGUCCCUGUCCUCGUGGAGCUAGGUCCACAAGGUGAAGAGCACUUGAACCCUUCCUGGAUGGUUGUCAUUCUACCACAUGUCCUAUCUGUGUGACAUUGUGAAUUCUAUUCGAGAAUCUGAUUGUAAUAUAGCCAAGGUGUUCACCUGCUACUAGCUACUGUGGCUGGGGUUGAAUAGGGCAUUCAGAGGCUUAAUCAUCAUCAGGAUCCCCAACUUACAGAUGAGGAAAUUGGGUUGUAGAGCAGGCAUUUAAAGUAUGUGCAGAGGUGGGAUAUGAACCGAGGUAGCUCGGAAACAGAGCCCCACAUGCUCAACUGCCCACCUUGUCCCUUGUCAUCUGGCCUGAAAGAUUAGUUUCAAUCUGAAUUCAACAUGUGGCAGUCAAUUCCAGACUUAGCCAGUUACAGAUGUAUUGAAUAAAUGAAUAACUCAGGCAGUAUUAUAAAAUCAAGGAUUAGCCCGAACCAGUUUGGCUCAGUGUAUAGAGUGUCGGUCUGCAGACUGAAAGGUCCCAGGUUCGAUUCCAGUCAAGGGCAUGUACCUUGGUUGCAGGCACAUCCCCAGUGGGAGGUGAGCAGGAGGCAGCUGAUUGAUGUUUCUCUCUCAUUGAUGUUUCUAACUCUCUAUCCCACUCCCUUCCUCUCUGUAAAAAAUUCAAUAAAAUAUAUUUUUAAAUAAAAUAAA
This is a long non-coding RNA of Eptesicus fuscus (big brown bat), 2459 nucleotides long. RefSeq lists it as uncharacterized. NCBI's taxonomy places the organism in Eukaryota, Metazoa, Chordata, Mammalia, Chiroptera, Vespertilionidae. The transcript is spliced from 3 exons. The record is from RefSeq and is a predicted model, not a curated record.